RNAcentral lists this ribosomal RNA (878 nucleotides) under uncultured bacterium. Its description in RNAcentral is "bacterial SSU rRNA". It matches the Rfam family "Bacterial small subunit ribosomal RNA", at positions 26 to 896 of the family's 1533-position model. The record is from RNAcentral.
AGAAUCAACGCUGGCGGCGUGCCUAACACAUGCAAGUCGAACGAGAAAGCGGGGGCAACUCCGUGAGUAAAGUGGCGCACGGGUGAGUAACACGUAGCUAACCUACCCUCAAGCGGGGGAUAACCUGGGGAAACCCGGGCUAAUACCGCAUAACAUCCCGAUAACACAGGUUGUUGGGAUCAAAGGCCUUGCAAGGGUCACUGGAGGAGGGGGCUGCGGCCGAUUAGCUAGUUGGUGAGGUAACGGCCCACCAAGGCGAUGAUCGGUAGCCGGCCUGAGAGGGCGCACGGCCACACUGGCACUGAAACACGGGCCAGACUCCUACGGGAGGCAGCAGUGGGGAAUUUUGCACAAUGCCCGAAAGGGUGGUGCAGCAACGCCGCGUGAGGGAUGAAGGCCUUCGGGUCGUAAACCUCUUUCGACCGGGAAAAAUGGGCUGGUGAAGAGCCAGUUCUGAUGGUACUGGUGGAAGAAGCCCCGGCUAACUACGUGCCAGCAGCCGCGGUAAUACGUAGGGGGCGAGCGUUGUUCGGAAUUACUGGGCGUAAAGGGCGUGUAGGCGGUGCGGUAAGUUGGGCGUGAAAUCCCCGAGCUUAACUCGGGUGGGCCGUUCAAGACUGCCGUGCUAGGGUGCGGGAGAGGGAAGUGGAAUUUCCGGUGUAGCGGUGAAAUGCGUAGAUAUCGGGAGGAACACCUGCGGCGAAGGCGGCUUCCUGGACCGUAACCGACGCUGAGGCGCGAAAGCUAGGGGAGCAAACAGGAUUAGAUACCCUGGUAGUCCUAGCCCUAAACGAUGAGCACUGGGUGUGGUCCCUCACGGGGCCGUGCCGAAGCUAACGCAUUAAGUGCUCCGCCUGGGGAGUACGGUCGCAAGGCUG